Molecule: long non-coding RNA, 2394 nt
Filed under: Triticum aestivum (bread wheat)
Lineage: Eukaryota; Viridiplantae; Streptophyta; Magnoliopsida; Poales; Poaceae
Description: long non-coding RNA (TAES_LNC027221)
Source: RNAcentral
AUCAUUACACUUGACGAUAUCCUAAGAUCCGGAAAAAGUGAUCACCAACAACACUUGAGCUAGUCUUAUAGGCAAGCCUAGGAACCUUUUCCAUUUACCAUUUAUGAUCCCACACGUGCAUAUGAGUUUUCAACUAAAUCACAUAUUCCAGGAUCAUACCAGUUAUAGCAUAGGAUAUAAACUCCUUAAUUAUGAAUAUGCAAAUAUGUCAAUACAAAUAUUAUUGCCUCUAGGUCAUAUUUGCAACACAUACAUAACUAUAAAAUUAUGCAUAAGAAAGGAUUCGAUAGAUUCAAAAUAGUUCAAUGAAUAAUCUAAUCAUAAACCCAAAAUUCAUCAGAUCCCAACAAACACACCGCAAAAGAUUACAUCAGAUUGAUCUUAGAGAAGAUCAUUGUAUUGAAGAUUAAAAGAGAGAGAGAAAGCCAUGUACCUACUGCUAUGGACCCAUAGGUCCUGUAGAAACUACUCACACAUCAUCAAGGAGGCAGCAAGGUUGAUGAAGAUAACCUCCCCAAUGAUUUCCGCCUCCUGUGGAGUACCAAAAAAGGGCUCCAGAUGAGAUUGCGGAAGAAUAGAGGUUUGCGGCAGCUUAAGAAUUGUUUCGGGUCCCACUCCGAGUGUUUCAGAAUAUAUGUGAAUUUAUAGGCCAAGAAUUAGGUCAAUCGAAGCUACGUGGGGCCCACAAGUCAACGGGUGGCGUCCACCUGGCUUGUGGGGGGCACGUGGGUCUUUUUGUCCUCCCCGAAGCUUCUAGGGUCUCUUACAUUCCAGAAAAUAUCAUUGUAAAGUUUCAUCGUGUUUGGACUUCGGUAGGUAUGGUUUUUCUGCGAAACAAAAACAUGUAGAAAACAUGAGCUGGCACUAAGCACUACUUAAUAGGUUAGUCAAUAAAAAUAAUAUAAAAUGGCAUAUAAAGCAUACAAAAGUAAUAAUAUAAUAGCAUGAAAUAAUCAAAAUUAUGGAUACAUUGGUGAUGUAUCAGCCACACGCACUACCAAAGUAGCUAAAUGUAUAGAAGAAUGUGGCAUAGAAAGACAACUGAGAAAGGCCACACGCACACUACUGUUCUUUGUCUUGAUGGCAACACAUUGAAACACUUUCCCACUAACAACCCUAGCCCACACACCCUAACCACUUACCAACAAAGCCCACCAAGUGGCAAUAUAUUCUUUGAAUAACCACUUCAUGCAAAAUCCCUUGCAAUAUAUUCAGACCAAUCCAUCAACCAAAAAAUUGCAGUGUUCUUCACCACUGAACUCUGAUUCAAGAACUAAAGGCUAUGUCAAUUGCAUAUACUAUCUUGCAUGUUUUCAUUUGUCUUUUCCCCUCCAAAUGAUAAUUUUCUACUUGCCAAAAGACACGAGAAUGCAAGAAAAAAGGUCCUGCAGAAAUAAGGUGAGAGAAAUGCAUCCUGUUAUAGCCUUACAUGUGAAGAGAAAUAAGCAUUUUGUAGUAUGCAUAUAUGGUAAACUACAAUCUUCAGAUAACCACAUUGGGCGAUCCUUUACAAUCAAUUCAACUGACUAAUCGGUCAAUUCGACACCGAACAGUAAAGGAUAAACACAAGUUACUAAAAACUUUUGAACCACAGAUGCCUUGUACUUAAUCCAUAUAAUGAGACCCACGAGGUAAUGCAGAAUAAAAAUAGUAGCUCUAUAUCUUAACCAAACCACAGUGCAAAUAUUUUCCACAAAUAUCACAGUGAGUAGGAUAAGAACAACAUGAUAAAAACAGCAGCUCUGCAUCUUAAUCGGCAAUUCAUCCCUACCUUGUCUCCCUGUCUGCCGCCACCUCCUCAUGGAUCUCACCACCGGUAGCACACCGCAAUCGGCCAGCCAGCAAUCAACACCAAACGCACAUUGGCACCAAACAACGAUCUCCAUGCCUUCGUCCCGCCCGUCUUCCCCAGUACUUUUUUUGCUGGUGUUCCCCAAUCCUUCUUGAUCAUCCUCCUUGUUGCCAGAACCACCAGCAGCUCCUUGAUCCUGCUGCUAUGGUCCAUGCUCGAUCUACUCCUCGUGGUGCACUAACGCCCUUAUCCACGAGACAAGGGGGAAAAUAAGAGGGAGGGCAGAGAUAGAGUGGGGGGAGAUAGAGGCAAACCUGAACCACCUCAACUUCCCUGCUCUUGAUGCUCCGUCCAGCGAGCCUUCUUCCACGGCCGACCCCGCCAGCAUUCGUGCCUGCACGACCUCCUUGCUCCUGUUGUUCCGGCUGACGAGCCUCCCUCCACGGCAGAUCCCGCCCGCAUUUGCCGUUGCACCAACCCUUGCUGAUUUUCCUCGCAGGCCCGGAUCUUCUUCCCAGCCCCGACCCGUGCGUUGCCAGGGGGCCAAGAAACGGGUGCGGUGGCUGUGGGAGGGGGAGGAGGAGUGAGGAGUGGACGGCUGC